UACGUAGGGUGCAAGCGUUAAUCGGAAUUACUGGGCGUAAAGCGUACGCAGGCGGCCUUGCAAGACAGGUGUGAAAUCCCCGGGCCUAACCUGGGAACUGCAUUUGUGACUGCAUGGCUAGAGUUUGUCAGAGGGGGGUGGAAUUCCACGUGUAGCAGUGAAAUGCGUAGAUAUGUGGAGGAACACCGAUGGCGAAGGCAGCCCCCUGGGAUGUGACUGACGCUCAUGUACGAAAGCGUGGGGAGCAAACAGG
RNAcentral lists this ribosomal RNA (253 nucleotides) under uncultured bacterium. RNAcentral describes it as "partial 16S ribosomal RNA". It matches the Rfam family "Bacterial small subunit ribosomal RNA", at positions 524 to 776 of the family's 1533-position model. The record is from RNAcentral.